GUGUGCUUUUAAAGUUGAUGCAGUGCUUUAAGAGGCUAACACUGAAGGUUAAAGGUAACUUCCAUAAAAUUUAGAGAAUAGGUUGCAAAACUCCUCUUUGAAUCAGUUACAGUUGGAAAAAAAAAA
Molecule: small nucleolar RNA, 126 nt
Organism: Marmota marmota marmota (Alpine marmot)
Lineage: Eukaryota; Metazoa; Chordata; Mammalia; Rodentia; Sciuridae
Source: Ensembl